AAAAAAAAAAAAAAAAAAAAAAAAAAAAAAAAAAAAAAAAAAAAAAAAAUUUAAAAAAAAAAAAAAAAAAAAAAAAAAAAAAAAAAAAAAAAAAAAAAAAAAAAAAAAAAAAAAAAAAAAAAAACAA
This is a long non-coding RNA of Ochlerotatus camptorhynchus, 127 nucleotides long. RefSeq lists it as uncharacterized. The transcript has 2 exons. NCBI's taxonomy places the organism in Eukaryota, Metazoa, Arthropoda, Insecta, Diptera, Culicidae. The record is from RefSeq and is a predicted model, not a curated record.